CGUGCACUGUCGGUCGGCGGCUAAGGAGGGGAGGCACCUGCAUCUGGGGCGCGGCGAAUCCUCGCGUGCGCCAGGCCGCCUGGGGUAGUCGCCGAGACUGCGCCGGCCAGCGGGGCCGAAACCUAAUCAGGAGCUGAGCUUUGAUGGCGGCUUCUGGAGGGACAAAGAAGGCGCAGAGCGGUGGGAGGAGGCUGCGAGAACCUAGCUCCCGCCCCAGCCGACGUGCGAGACAAAGGCCCCGGCGCGGGGCUCUUCGGAAGGCCGGGAGGUUCCUGUGACAAUGCGAGUCUGCGCCCCACGCUCCCGCACCGUGAUGCCGAGGCCAAAUGGCUAGAGUGGGCCCAGGCAUCAGCAUUUCUGUUUGGCAGCCGGGCAGUUGUGGUGCACGUUUUGAGGAACUACUAAAGCCUGCCUGUGAUGAAAAAGGCAAAAGCUGACUUCACCAAAAUUACUCCCAGGGAGACUUCUGCAUUUGGCUGGAAGGACAUUUGAGUAAACCGCUGAGGCUGGUGGUUGAAACAUAAUCCUCUAAGGGAGAUCGGUUCCGAUACCCUGAGUUAGGGACGCUUGCCUGGGCAGAGCUAAGGGGAGAAUGAUCAAAAGCCAAGCUCUGUCCCCGUCAGCACGUCACCCUCCCUCACUGUAAUCCCUGACUGUUUUCUCUAAAUGAAGAAUUAUUUAGAGAAUAUAAAUUAGAAGGGCCGCCACGUCAGAAUUGCCUGAGUGGGAGCAGUCUUUCCAGCCUCGAAAAAUGUUUAAACAAUAUGCAGAUGACCUAGCACAAAUAAAGAAUGCUAGCAACCGCUGUUAUGUGUGAGCGGUGGAAUUGGGAGGGCUCUUCCCCCAAUCUUCAUCAAACAGAGUAAGGUUUAGAAUAAAAAUAAUGAAAUACAGUCUUUCAAAAAGAGCAGCGCUUGACUAAUGUUACUGAUGUCACUCAUGUUACUCAAGGGAGGAAAGAACUCAAACUCUACAUAAUAAUACCCACUGAUUUCAAGGGCUGGCACGGAGAAUUAAGCAGACCGCCAUUCUUUAUAUUUGUUUUUUUGUUGUUGUUUGCUUAUGAUUUUUUUCUUUCUUUUUUUUUUUUUUUUUUUGAGAAGGGGUCUCGCACUGUCACCCAGGCAGGAAUGCAGUGGCGCGAUAAUGGCUCACUGCAAUCUCACUAUAUUGACCAGUAUGAUUUUCAACUCCUGUCUUUAAGCGAUCCUCACGCUUCGGCCUCCCAAAGUGCUGGGGUUACAGACAUGUGCCACUAUGCCCUGCCUAAAUAUGUUUAUAUAUACUACCGCCAAAGAAACAAUUUGAAGACGAUCUUUCCCCAGCCCCUCUCCUUCUGAUCCAACUCCAAGAGCUCACCCUCCCUGUAAGACCUGUAGCAGAGCACGUAUUGGCCUGCUGAUACUAGGGGCAAAGACCGG
Molecule: long non-coding RNA, 1421 nt
Filed under: Homo sapiens (human)
Lineage: Eukaryota; Metazoa; Chordata; Mammalia; Primates; Hominidae
Description: non-protein coding lnc-CMBL-1:3
Source: RNAcentral